Molecule: ribosomal RNA, 404 nt
Filed under: Actinomycetes bacterium
Lineage: Bacteria; Bacillati; Actinomycetota; Actinomycetes
Description: Actinobacteria bacterium partial 16S ribosomal RNA
Rfam family: Bacterial small subunit ribosomal RNA
Source: RNAcentral
UGGGGAAUAUUGGACAAUGGGCGCAAGCCUGAUCCAGCCAUGCCGCGUGAGUGAUGAAGGCCCUAGGGUUGUAAAGCUCUUUCACCGGUGAAGAUAAUGACGGUAACCGGAGAAGAAGCCCCGGCUAACUUCGUGCCAGCAGCCGCGGUAAUACGAAGGGGGCUAGCGUUGUUCGGAUUUACUGGGCGUAAAGCGCACGUAGGCGGAAUAUUAAGUCAGGGGUGAAAUCCCGGGGCUCAACCCCGGAACUGCCUUUGAUACUGGUAGUCUUGAGUUCGAGAGAGGUGAGUGGAAUUCCGAGUGUAGAGGUGAAAUUCGUAGAUAUUCGGAGGAACACCAGUGGCGAAGGCGGCUCACUGGCUCAAUACUGACGCUGAGGUGCGAAAGCGUGGGGAGCAAACAGG